Long non-coding RNA from Musca domestica (house fly), 878 nucleotides. RefSeq lists it as uncharacterized. The record is from RefSeq and is a predicted model, not a curated record. The transcript is spliced from 7 exons. Lineage: Eukaryota; Metazoa; Arthropoda; Insecta; Diptera; Muscidae.
AGAGGAUGUUUGUGGAUUUACAGCUUUUAAGUAAAACAUUGAAAAAAAAAACUUUUGGAUAAUUAAAUGUGCUAUUGCUGCUCAUCGUAGUCAUAACCUCCUUACGGAUGUGAGAAUUCGCAGUAUUGUACUUACAAUCGACUCCAAAAGGUGAACAUAGCCAUGCGGUCUAACGCGUUAAUUCUACAUACAUAAUUGGCAUCGGAGUAUAGAUGGCUUGCAGCAAAUCAUAACCAUUAUAAGGGAAUCACGGCAAAACAAAUGGCAGUCCAUAUAUGAACAUAGCCAUGCGGUCUAACGCGUUAAUUCUACAUACAUAAUUGGCAUCGGAGUGUAGAUGGCUUGCAACAAAUCAUAACCAUUAUAAGGGAAUCACGGCAAAACAAAUGGCAGUCCAUAUAUGAACAUAGCCAUGCGGUCUAACGCGUUAAUUCUACAUACAUAAUUGGCAUCGGAGUGUAGAUGGCUUGCAGCAAAUCAUAACCAUUAUAAGGGAAUCACGGCAAAACAAAUGGCAGUCCAUAUAUGAACAUAGCCAUGCGGUCUAACGCGUUAAUUCUACAUACAUAAUUGGCAUCGGAGUGUAGAUGGCUUGCAACAAAUCAUAACCAUUAUAAGGGAAUCACGGCAAAACAAAUGGCAGUCCAUAUAUGAACAUAGCCAUGCGGUCUAACGCGUUAAUUCUACAUACAUAAUUGGCAUCGGAGUGUAGAUGGCUUGCAGCAAAUCAUAACCAUUAUAAGGGAAUCACGGCAAAACAAAUGGCAGUCCAUAUAUGAACAUAGCCAUGCGGUCUAACGCGUUAAUUCUACAUACAUAAUUGGCAUCGGAGUGUAGAUGGCUUGCAACAAAUCAUAACCAUUAUAAGGGAAUCACGG